RNAcentral lists this long non-coding RNA (539 nucleotides) under Elaeis guineensis (African oil palm). RNAcentral describes it as "long non-coding RNA (EGUI_LNC000848)". The record is from RNAcentral. Lineage: Eukaryota; Viridiplantae; Streptophyta; Magnoliopsida; Arecales; Arecaceae.
CCAGCGUACAAAGUGAAGACAAAUGCUCUAAGAAACAAGUACUUGCAUUAAUUUUACUGGGGUUGUUUUCUCUAAGAGUCCGGAAACUUAAAAAACUUUGUCAUUCAAAAUAAUAGAGGACUUUCUUGCGCAUUUGAUGCACCUUCGUUUUCAGUGAGCCAUUCAUCUAAAAUGUUCAAUAUUACAAGGCAAUACAUUGGUCAUGGAGGACUCAAAAGAUGCCUUGAGACUAAUAGAAGCAUGAUCAUACCAAAACGAGCGAUAGAUUUUUUUGAUUAAAUAAUAAUAAUAAUGAUGAUGAUUUACAUUAUUUUCUUUGAUUCUUAAAAUGUUGCAAUCCCCCCAUAGUUGUCCUUUGGCAUAUGAUUCUCCAUCAUCCUUAUUGCAUCAAUCACAUAUGAAACCUACAUAUGAUGGGAAUCACUUGGAACAAUAUAUAAUAACCAUUUUUAACCACCACCCAACCCCAUCAAUAGAGUCCGGUGAUAAUUUUCAAAUUAUUACCUAAAUGUAUAUGAUGGCUUUUAAUUGAGAAACUG